GCUGGGCACAGUGGCACAUGCCUGUAAUCCCAGUGGCUUGGGAGGCUGAGAUAGGAGGAUCACAAGUUCAAAGCCAUCCUCAGCAAUGGUGAGGUGCUUAACAACUCAGUAAGACCCUGUCUCUA
RNAcentral lists this small RNA (125 nucleotides) under Marmota monax (woodchuck). The record is from RNAcentral. Lineage: Eukaryota; Metazoa; Chordata; Mammalia; Rodentia; Sciuridae.